CAUACUUAACCGCCGUGUAUAUUUGGAAAAUAUUCAGCAUCGUUUUUCGCGCUUUGUUCAUAAGCUUUUUAAUAUUCCAAAAGGCACAGACUUGUUGUAUUCCUCUAUCUUAAAUGGUCUGGAAAAUUCAAAGCCUCAGAAUUUCAUUCAUAAAGGCGAGAGAAUAAGCAACUUGACACAGCCUGAUAAAUGGUCAGAUAUACUUACUAACAAACGGGCGUCGAUGUAGGUUUAUCACAGCUUUUUUUAUUUUCUGCAUGCAGCAUGGGGAUAAUAUCAGACGAGCAACCUACGCCUCAUUGAAGUCAAAGUAUUGGAACAAUAUGACCCAGACAGAGGCAAUAACAAUGACAGUUAUGAGUUUUUUCCAAUACGAAUGCGAAUCGAACGAACUCGUGCAACUAGCUAUUGAAGUUAAUUUCAAGCUUGAAAUGAACUCUUAAAAGACAGCAUAAAAUUCUAGAUGCAAUUUGACUUCAUUCUAUGCGGUUUAUACGGUGCUUCAUUGAUUUUCAUGACCUGGCUUGAAAUGACAAAAAUCCUGACGGCUGCAGUGCUAUGUGUCGGCCAUUAGAUGGGACAAGAAUAAAGCCAGAUCAGUCACCAAAUUGCCUGGGUCAACGCACCAUGCUAGGCAUAAUAAAAUAAGUCAAAAUAAGGCGAAUAAUCAAAGAUAAUUGCGUCUCCAGCCUUAGGGCAACUGCUUGCAUAAGCGAUUAUGUGUUCUUGGUGGUGAUUGAAUCCUGGAGCUUAUACCAACCUAACGCAUUCAAGUGACAAUGCAAUAUCUGCUAAAUUAAUUAGUAGAUUGGUUGAGUUAAUAAAUAAAUAGCAGAUGUAUUGAGCUUGUGUAAGCAGAAUUGAAUAUGAUUGAAAUUAAUAUGUCACAAUAACUGUAUGGAUUAUUUUGCCGUCUCUAGUUCUCUUGUAGUGUAAUAAGCAGAAUUAACAUUUCUUUGUUCCUGCAUACAAAAAUUAAUUUCAAAUUUAAAUUUUUUAACAUCGUUUCAGAAUUAAUGUAAUGCUUAAUUCCAUGAAAUUUGUUAGUUAAUCUACCGCUUGAAAAAGAAAAAUGUGAA
Non-coding RNA from Drosophila virilis, 1079 nucleotides. The record is from RefSeq and is a predicted model, not a curated record. NCBI's taxonomy places the organism in Eukaryota, Metazoa, Arthropoda, Insecta, Diptera, Drosophilidae.